GUGAGGGAAAGGCGAAAAGAACCCCGGCGAGGGGAGUGAAACAGAACCUGAAACCGUGUACGUACAAGCAGUGGGAGCCUUCGUAAGAGGGUGACUGCGUACCUUUUGUAUAAUGGGUCAGCGACUUAUAUUCUGUAGCAAGGUUAACCGUAUAGGGGAGCCGAAGGGAAACCGAGUCUUAACCGGGCGUUAAGUUGCAGGGUAUAGACCCGAAACCCGGUGAUCUAGCCAUGGGCAGGUUGAAGGUUGGGUAACACUAACUGGAGGACCGAACCGACUAAUGUUGAAAAAUUAGCGGAUGACCUGUGGCUGGGGGUGAAAGGCCAAUCAAACCGGGAGAUAGCUGGUUCUCCCCGAAAGCUAUUUAGGUAGCGCCUCGUGAACUCAUCUCCGGGGGUAGAGCACUGUUUCGGCUAGGGGGCCAUCCCGGCUUACCAACCCGAUGCAAACUGGGAAUACCGGAGAAUGUUUUCCCGGGAGACACACGGCGGGUGCUAACGUCCGUCGUGAAGAGGGAAACAACCCAGACCGCCAGCUAAGGUCCCAAAGUCAUGGUUAAGUGGGAAACGAUGUGGGAAGGCCCAGACAGCCAGGAUGUUGGCUUAGAAGCAGCCAUCAUUUAAAGAAAGCGUAAUAGCUCACUGGUCGAGUCGGCCUGCGCGGAAGAUGUAACGGGGCUAAACCAUGCACCGAAGCUGCGGCAGCGACACUCUGUGUUGUUGGGUAGGGGAGCGUUCUGUAAGCC
RNAcentral lists this ribosomal RNA (745 nucleotides) under Leptospira borgpetersenii serovar Arborea. RNAcentral's name for it is "partial 23S ribosomal RNA". It matches the Rfam family "Bacterial large subunit ribosomal RNA", at positions 503 to 1249 of the family's 2925-position model. The record is from RNAcentral. Lineage: Bacteria; Pseudomonadati; Spirochaetota; Leptospiria; Leptospirales; Leptospiraceae.